UACGUAGGGUGCAAGCGUUGUCCGGAAUUAUUGGGCGUAAAGAGCUCGUAGGCGGUCUGUCGCGUCGGAUGUGAAAACUCGGGGCUCAACCCCGGGCCUGCAUUCGAUACGGGCAGACUAGAGUUCGGCAGGGGAGACUGGAAUUCCUGGUGUAGCGGUGAAAUGCGCAGAUAUCAGGAGGAACACCGGUGGCGAAGGCGGGUCUCUGGGCCGAAACUGACGCUGAGGAGCGAAAGCGUGGGGAGCAAACAGG
Molecule: ribosomal RNA, 253 nt
Filed under: uncultured bacterium
Lineage: Bacteria
Description: partial 16S ribosomal RNA
Rfam family: Bacterial small subunit ribosomal RNA
Source: RNAcentral